CCUACGGGUGGCAGCAGUGGGGAAUAUUGCACAAUGGGGGACACCCUGAUGCAGCGACGCCGCGUGCGUGAAGAAGUAUUUCGGUAUGUACAGCUCUAUCAGCAGGGAAGAAAAUGCCGGUACCUGAUUACGAAGCCCCGGCUAACUACGUGCAAGCAGCCGCGGUAAUACGUAGGGGGCAAGCGUUAUCCGGAUUUACUUGGUGUAAGGGGAGCGUAGACGGCAGAAAAAGUCUGGAGUUAAAUGCCGGGGCUUAACCCCGGAACUGCAUUGGAAACUGUGCAGCUAGAGUGCAGGAGAGGUAGGCGGAAUUCAGAGAGUAGCGGUGAAAUGCGUAGAUAGUAGGAGGAACACCAAUUGCGAAGGCGGCGUACUGGAGUGUAACUGACGUUGGAGCUCGAAAGCGUGGGGAGCAAACAGGAUUAGAUACCCCAGUAGUC
RNAcentral lists this ribosomal RNA (440 nucleotides) under uncultured bacterium. RNAcentral describes it as "partial 16S ribosomal RNA". It matches the Rfam family "Bacterial small subunit ribosomal RNA", at positions 338 to 795 of the family's 1533-position model. The record is from RNAcentral.